Molecule: small nucleolar RNA, 80 nt
Organism: Impatiens glandulifera
Lineage: Eukaryota; Viridiplantae; Streptophyta; Magnoliopsida; Ericales; Balsaminaceae
Product: small nucleolar RNA SNORD34
Exons: 1
Source: RefSeq, a predicted model, not a curated record
GGAGGUCUGUGAUGAUUCGAAUAUUGCCUACAUUGUCUGAUCAAUCUGUGAUAGACUUUUCCUACUUUUCUGAGGCCUCU